UACAUGGGGUGCAAACGUUGCUCGGAAUCAUUGGGCGUAAAGCGCGCGUAGGCGGUUACUUAAGUCGAAUGUGAAAGCCCUCGGCUUAACUGAGGAAGUGCAUCCGAAACUGAGUAGCUAGAGUACGAAAGAGGGUCGCGGAAUUCCCGGUGUAGAGGUGAAAUUCGUAGAUAUUGGGAAGAACACCGGUGGCGAAGGCGGCGCUCUGGACCGAGACUGACGCUGAGGCGCGAAAGCGUGGGGAGCAAACAGG
RNAcentral lists this ribosomal RNA (253 nucleotides) under uncultured bacterium. RNAcentral's name for it is "partial 16S ribosomal RNA". It matches the Rfam family "Bacterial small subunit ribosomal RNA", at positions 524 to 776 of the family's 1533-position model. The record is from RNAcentral.